This is a non-coding RNA of Struthio camelus australis, 78 nucleotides long. The record is from Rfam. NCBI's taxonomy places the organism in Eukaryota, Metazoa, Chordata, Aves, Struthioniformes, Struthionidae.
UAUGAAUCUAGUGGAAUCAUUUCCGCACAGACUUGACUACUGAAAUCAGUGUGCGGAAAUGCUUCUGCUACAUUUUUA